AUUGAACGCUGGCGGCAGGCCUAACACAUGCAAGUCGAGCGGCUGCAGGGUGCUUGCUCGCGCUUACAGCGGCGGACUGGCGGGUAGUGGCUAGAUACAUCCGUGUUUGCGGGGGCUUAGGUGCGGACGCGGGCGCUCUUACCGCAUAAGCCCAGACGGCCUACGUGUGGAUGUUGGGGAUCUUCGAUCUUAGAUCAGCCUAAGUCGGAUUAGCCAGUUGGUGGGGUAAAGGCCUACCAAGGCGACGAUCCGUACCUGGUCUGAGAGGAUGAUCAGUCACACUGGAACUGAGACACGGUCCAGACUCCUACGGGAGGCAGCAGUGGGGAAUAUUGGACAAUGGGCGAAAGCCUGAUCCAGCCAUGCCGCGUGGGUGAAGAAGGUCUUCGGGUUGUAAAGCCCUUUUAGUGGGAAAGAAAAGCAGCAAGUUAAUACCUUGCUGUUUUGACGUUACCAAAAGAAUAAGCACCGGCUAACUUCGUG
RNAcentral lists this ribosomal RNA (483 nucleotides) under uncultured bacterium. RNAcentral describes it as "partial 16S ribosomal RNA". It matches the Rfam family "Bacterial small subunit ribosomal RNA", at positions 30 to 507 of the family's 1533-position model. The record is from RNAcentral.